GACGAACGCCGGCGGCGUGCCUAAUACAUGCAAGUAGAACGCUGAAGGAGGAGCUUGCUUCUCUGGAUGAGUUGCGAACGGGUGAGUAACGCGUAGGUAACCUGCCUGGUAGCGGGGGAUAACUAUUGGAAACGAUAGCUAAUACCGCAUAAUAGUAGAUGUUGCAUGACAUUUGCUUAAAAGGUGCAAUUGCAUCACUACCAGAUGGACCUGCGUUGUAUUAGCUAGUUGGUGGGGUAACGGCUCACCAAGGCGACGAUACAUAGCCGACCUGAGAGGGUGAUCGGCCACACUGGGACUGAGACACGGCCCAGACUCCUACGGGAGGCAGCAGUAGGGAAUCUUCGGCAAUGGACGGAAGUCUGACCGAGCAACGCCGCGUGAGUGAAGAAGGUUUUCGGAUCGUAAAGCUCUGUUGUAAGAGAAGAACGAGUGUGAGAGUGGAAAGUUCACACUGUGA
Molecule: ribosomal RNA, 460 nt
Filed under: Streptococcus mitis
Lineage: Bacteria; Bacillati; Bacillota; Bacilli; Lactobacillales; Streptococcaceae
Description: bacterial SSU rRNA
Rfam family: Bacterial small subunit ribosomal RNA
Source: RNAcentral